UCGAGAAUCUUCGGCAAUGGACGCAAGUCUGACCGAGCGACGCCGCGUGCGGGAUGAAGGCCUUCGGGUUGUAAACCGCUGUCAGUUGGGAGGAAAUCACAUGGGGUUCUCUCCAUGUGUUGACCUAUCUUCAGAGGAAGGACGGGCUAAGUUCGUGCCAGCAGCCGCGGUAAGACGAACCGUCCAAACGUUAUUCGGAAUUACUGGGCUUAAAGGGUGCGUAGGCGGCCCUGUAAGUUGGGUGUGAAAUCCCUCGGCUCAACCGAGGAAUUGCGCCCAAUACUGCAGGGCUAGAGGGAGACAGAGGUGAGCGGAACUUGUGGUGGAGCGGUGAAAUGCGUUGAUAUUACAAGGAACACCUGUGGCGAAAGCGGCUCACUGGGUCUCUUCUGACGCUGAGGCACGAAAGCUGGGGGAGCGAACGG
This 425-nucleotide ribosomal RNA is filed under the name uncultured bacterium. Its description in RNAcentral is "bacterial SSU rRNA". It matches the Rfam family "Bacterial small subunit ribosomal RNA", at positions 355 to 775 of the family's 1533-position model. The record is from RNAcentral.